GAUGAAUGGUAGGAAGUUUGGUGGGAAUGAAGUGGUUGCUGUGUUUUAUCCAGAAGACAAGUUUGAUCAGGGAGAGUAUGGAGCCUGAAGCUCAUCCUUUGUUUGUUUGCUUGCUGUCUAGUACCUUUAAGUUCUCUUCAGUUUCAUCCUUUGUUUGUUUGCUUGCUUGCUGUCUAGUACCUUUAAGUUCUCUUCAGUUUUUUGCUUCUGUUAAAAGACCCUUGUGUUAUUUUAAGACCAAUAUAUGAUUUUGAUACUUUUGUUUGCUAUAAACCUUACCAAUGAAGUCCUGUUUUGUUCUCUC
RNAcentral lists this long non-coding RNA (304 nucleotides) under Brassica napus (rape). RNAcentral's name for it is "long non-coding RNA (BNAP_LNC014370)". Lineage: Eukaryota; Viridiplantae; Streptophyta; Magnoliopsida; Brassicales; Brassicaceae. The record is from RNAcentral.